RNAcentral lists this ribosomal RNA (492 nucleotides) under uncultured bacterium. Its description in RNAcentral is "partial 16S ribosomal RNA". It matches the Rfam family "Bacterial small subunit ribosomal RNA", at positions 29 to 507 of the family's 1533-position model. The record is from RNAcentral.
AGUGAACGCCGGCGGUAGGCCUAACACAUGCAAGUCGAACGGCAGCACAGUAAGAGCUUGCUCUUACGGGUGGCGAGUGGCGGACGGGUGAGGAAUACAUCGGAAUCUACUUUUUCGUGGGGGAUAACGUAGGGAAACUUACGCUAAUACCGCAUACGACCUACGGGUGAAAGCAGGGGAUCUUCGGACCUUGCGCGAUUGAAUGAGCCGAUGUCGGAUUAGCUAGUUGGCGGGGUAAAGGCCCACCAAGGCGACGAUCCGUAGCUGGUCUGAGAGGAUGAUCAGCCACACUGGAACUGAGACACGGUCCAGACUCCUACGGGAGGCAGCAGUGGGGAAUAUUGGACAAUGGGCGCAAGCCUGAUCCAGCCAUACCGCGUGGGUGAAGAAGGCCUUCGGGUUGUAGAGCCCUUUUGUUGGGAAAGAAAAGCAGCAGGUUAAUACCCCGCUGUUCUGACGGUACCCAAAGAAUAAGCACCGGCUAACUUCGUG